Tigriopus californicus is the source of this 177-nucleotide long non-coding RNA. RefSeq lists it as uncharacterized. The transcript has 3 exons. The record is from RefSeq and is a predicted model, not a curated record. Lineage: Eukaryota; Metazoa; Arthropoda; Copepoda; Harpacticoida; Harpacticidae.
AUAAAGCUUUCCAUCAAUAUCAGGUUCAAGUGGUCUUGGAGAGGAGAGCGAGACGUGGAUAUGUAGUACAUGGUCAAAACUUCAAGUAGAAGAUGUUGCUAUUGCUUUGUCUACCUGGCACACUACGGUUUCUUGUUUGAAGUUAAAACCAGUCAGGCUUCAAAACGGAUACGGCAU